GAGUAACACGUGGGCAAUCUGCCCUUCACUCUGGGACAAGCCCUGGAAACGGGGUCUAAUACCGGAUAACACUCUCCGAGGCAUCUCGGGGGGUUGAAAGCUCCGGCGGUGAAGGAUGAGCCCGCGGCCUAUCAGCUUGUUGGUGAGGUAGUGGCUCACCAAGGCGACGACGGGUAGCCGGCCUGAGAGGGCGACCGGCCACACUGGGACUGAGACACGGCCCAGACUCCUACGGGAGGCAGCAGUGGGGAAUAUUGCACAAUGGGCGAAAGCCUGAUGCAGCGACGCCGCGUGAGGGAUGACGGCCUUCGGGUUGUAAACCUCUUUCAGCAGGGAAGAAGCGAAAGUGACGGUACCUGCAGAAGAAGCGCCGGCUAACUACGUGCCAGCAGCCGCGGUAAUACGUAGGGCGCAAGCGUUGUCCGGAAUUAUUGGGCGUAAAGAGCUCGUAGGCGGCUUGUCACGUCGGGUGUGAAAGCCCGGGGCUUAACCCCGGGUCUGCAUUCGAUACGGGCUAGCUAGAGUG
Molecule: ribosomal RNA, 526 nt
Filed under: Streptomyces shaanxiensis
Lineage: Bacteria; Bacillati; Actinomycetota; Actinomycetes; Kitasatosporales; Streptomycetaceae
Description: bacterial SSU rRNA
Rfam family: Bacterial small subunit ribosomal RNA
Source: RNAcentral